GCCUGGAUGGCUCAGUUGCUAAGCAUCUGACUUUGGCUCAGGUCAUGAUCUUGUGGUUUGUGGGUUCAAGCCCUGCGUCAGGCU
RNAcentral lists this transfer RNA (84 nucleotides) under Felis catus (domestic cat). It matches the Rfam family "tRNA". From Rfam's summary of the family: Transfer RNA (tRNA) molecules are approximately 80 nucleotides in length. Their secondary structure includes four short double-helical elements and three loops (D, anti-codon, and T loops). Further hydrogen bonds mediate the characteristic L-shaped molecular structure. tRNAs have two regions of fundamental functional importance: the anti-codon, which is responsible for specific mRNA codon recognition, and the 3' end, to which the tRNAs corresponding amino acid is attached (by aminoacyl-tRNA synthetases). tRNAs cope with the degeneracy of the genetic code in two manners: having more than one tRNA (with a specific anti-codon) for a particular amino acid; and 'wobble' base-pairing, i.e. permitting non-standard base-pairing at the 3rd anti-codon position. Lineage: Eukaryota; Metazoa; Chordata; Mammalia; Carnivora; Felidae. The record is from Rfam by way of RNAcentral.